Molecule: transfer RNA, 88 nt
Filed under: uncultured archaeon
Lineage: Archaea
Description: tRNA-Asn(gtt)
Rfam family: tRNA
About the family: Transfer RNA (tRNA) molecules are approximately 80 nucleotides in length. Their secondary structure includes four short double-helical elements and three loops (D, anti-codon, and T loops).
Source: RNAcentral
UGGAGUGUGGCUCAAUUGGUACAGCACCUGGCUGUUACCCAGGCAGUGCGAAAGCACAUUGCAGGUUCGAGUCCUGCUGCUCCAGCCA